UACGUGAGGGGCGAACGUUGUUCGGUGUCACUGGGCUUAAAGGGUGCGUAGGUGGUUGUGUAAGUAACGUGUGAAAUCCCUCGGCUUACCCGGGGAAUUGCAUGUUAUACUGCAUGACUUGAGGGCUAAAGGGGAAAAGGGAACUCCAGGUGUAGCGGUGAAAUGCGCAGAUAUCAGGAGGAACACCGAUGGCGAAGGCAGGUCUCUGGGCCACUACUGACGCUGAGAAGCGAAAGCAUGGGGAGCGAACAGG
RNAcentral lists this ribosomal RNA (253 nucleotides) under uncultured bacterium. RNAcentral's name for it is "partial 16S ribosomal RNA". It matches the Rfam family "Bacterial small subunit ribosomal RNA", at positions 524 to 776 of the family's 1533-position model. The record is from RNAcentral.